AAAGAUGUCCAUCAAUGGGUAGAAAAUAUAGCUAACCAAAGAAGUCAAAUCAUAGAUAUUUUGGCACAAAUCAAUGGCAGCUUCUUCGGUAAAAAUACCAGAUGCUCAUGUAUUAGAAGUCAGAUUGUAUUUUAUCUCCUUCACUCGAAAAAUGAACAAAUUAAUCCCUGUACAUUAGAGUAAAGAGCAAACUGGUUUUUUCUAUUAAAAAUUUUAUCCAUUUCUACUGUUAAAAACUGCCUUGGCUGAUAGAAUAACCAGACAUUUCACGCCACAUGUACCUCAUUUUGACAUACAAGGUUUAGUUUUAACAGUAGAUAUGAAUGAAAUUUUUAACAAGAGAACCAAUUUGCUCUUUAAUCUAACAGAUAGGGACUACUUUGUCCAUUUUUUGAGUAGAGAGGACAAAUACCAUCCGACUACUAAUACAAAGGCCUCCAUGGUACUUUUACCCAGCUUCUUCUACUGCUAAUGACUAUAUAAAGGACUCUACCUUUUGAGUGUUUCCCUAACAAAUAAAGCAAAAACGGGUUUAAAGAGAUGUGUAUUGGUAUGGGUUUUGUGUGUUGUUAUUGCUUUAACUUUCCCUUUUAAUGGAAGAUCAAGAGAAUUAUGGGAUACUACUAGGAAAGCAGAGGCUCCUCAAACACAGUUAUUUGCAACACAGACUCUCCAUCAAACAGGUCAGAUCUAGCUACUCCAAACACUCCCUUUUUUUCAUUUGUUAUUGUUAAUGGCUAAAGUAAUUUAGUCGGAAAGAGCUAAUAGUUGAUUUGCCACUGGAUGCCAACAGGUUCUUAUCCUUGGGCUGACGGUCCGAACCACUAUAUGACCAGCGGAGGUCUGACAGUCUGACCGCCGAUGGCUAAUGGCUUAGAGUGAUGAAGCAAAUGUUAGCACACAAACACACACACACAGAUAUACCUGGCCCUUCAAGAUCUAUAUAUGCACAAAAGUUGUAAUAAAAAAAUAGAAAGAAAUAAAACGAAUAAGAGGUUAAAAUUCAGGUUUGAA
This 1014-nucleotide long non-coding RNA is filed under the name Gossypium barbadense (sea-island cotton). RNAcentral's name for it is "long non-coding RNA (GBAR_LNC017473)". The stretch from base 203 to 338 matches the Rfam family "MIR7502 microRNA precursor family". The record is from RNAcentral. Lineage: Eukaryota; Viridiplantae; Streptophyta; Magnoliopsida; Malvales; Malvaceae.